RNAcentral lists this ribosomal RNA (469 nucleotides) under uncultured bacterium. RNAcentral's name for it is "partial 16S ribosomal RNA". It matches the Rfam family "Bacterial small subunit ribosomal RNA", at positions 28 to 507 of the family's 1533-position model. The record is from RNAcentral.
GACGAACGCUGGCGGCGUGCUUAACACAUGCAAGUCGAACGGAAAGGCCCUGCUUUUGUGGGGUGCUCGAGUGGCGAACGGGUGAGUAACACGUGAGUAACCUGCCCUUGACUUUGGGAUAACUUCAGGAAACUGGGGCUAAUACCGGAUAGGAGCUCCUGCUGCAUGGUGGGGGUUGGAAAGUUUCGGCGGUUGGGGAUGGACUCGCGGCUUAUCAGCUUGUUGGUGGGGUAGUGGCUUACCAAGGCUUUGACGGGUAGCCGGCCUGAGAGGGUGACCGGCGACAUUGGGACUGAGAGACGGCCCAGACGGGUACGGGAGGCAGCAGGGGGGGGUAUUGGAGAAGGGGCGCAAGUCUGAUGCAGGAACGCCGCGUGCGGGAUGACGGCGUUAGGGUUGGGAACCGCGUGCAGCAGGGACGAAGCGUGUUGGGACGGUACCUGAAGAAGAAGCACCGGCUAACUACGUG